Long non-coding RNA from Capsicum annuum, 3009 nucleotides. RefSeq lists it as uncharacterized. The record is from RefSeq and is a predicted model, not a curated record. The transcript has 5 exons. Lineage: Eukaryota; Viridiplantae; Streptophyta; Magnoliopsida; Solanales; Solanaceae.
UUCCUUUAUCUAAUAAUGUUGGAUUUAGGACAAGAGUUGCCGGAAUAUUGUCUGUGGAGUUCCCAGCUUCGAGCCCUACUUCUGUGGGUUGUGUACCAGCUGAUUCCAUCAUAGCUGUACGUAUCAAUUUCACUUCUUACAGUUGGUCGUGGUUCGCAGAUGGCCAUACCCAGUUUAGGAGUUGAAAAUCUCUUUCUCUCUGCUUGGUGGUUGAAGAUGCUGGAGUUGUCAUUACUUCCAGCUGUGCUUCCUUUGCCUUUAUCACAUCUUCCAAAGUGGCUACCUUUUGAAAAAUAUCCCUGAAGGUUUCUCUACUCCAAGAAGCUAGAACUGAUUGUACCUUCUUUAACUUUACUUGAACCACCUGAAAAAGAGAUCCUUGUAUGUUUUCCUCCCAAGACUCCUUCACUAUCUCUUGAAAAUCCUUAUGCUUAGUCCAAAAAUUUAGGAACCUAAAGGAUUUCUUUACCUGGACCUAAUUAGUAUCCCUAAUAACCUGAAGAGGUGCAUGAUCUGAAUUGAUCAAGUGAGUCACUUCACAAUUAGGCAUGACCUGAAUAAGUUCAUAGUUGCCAAAAACCCUAUCUAAUCUUUUGAGAUUGCAAUCAUCUUGAAUUCUUCCAUUCCACCAAGUGAAUCUGCUUACUGUGAAUCUUAAUUCAUUUAAUGCACAGUUAUUCAUGCAUUGAAUAAAAUCAAGUCUCAUGUUGAGUGACUGGAAGUCCUCCUAAUUUUUCAGAAUCAUUCAUUAUCACAUUAAACUCCCCCCAACAAUACAUGGAAUGUGAGUAUUAUUAGCAAUGUCCUCUAAAUCAUCCCAUAGCUCUAAUCUUUCCAAAUGACUACAUCUACCAUACACUGCUAUUACUUGAAAAACAUCUGACCCUUCUCUCAAUCUGUAUUCCAUUGUCAGUUGCUGUGUGGAAUUUGUGGUCCCAGUCUCUUCCUAUUCUUCAUCCCAGAAAAUCUAAAUUUUAUUAGAAAAAUUUGCUUUGGCCUUUGCUAAACCUAACCUUCUUUUGUAAUCUUUUAACUCUUAUGGGCUCUAAAAGGGUUCCAUUAAAGCGAUGUGGGAAUAAUUAUUCCUCUUGUGGAGAUCAAUUAGCCGCUCAAAAGCACUUUGAGUUCUAACUGAUCUAAUAUUCUAAAAUAGGAUCUUGUUAAUCAUUGAUCACUACUGGAUAAGAGGCCUGAUUUACUCGUAUUAAUUUAAGACUUGACAGCAGUGUUUUUGUAAACUUUUACUAUUCCUACUUUUCAAUUGCCCUAUUUGUCUAGGAGAUAGGUCUCCAUAUCUUCCAAUUUGAUCUAUGUUAGCUUCCAUAUCCGCAUCCUUUCCAUGGUCUUGUUUGUUCUGUUUCUCCUGCUGUGAUAUAUUCUUAAGCUUAGGUACAUCAACUUCUCCCCUUACUUGUGAUUCAGUUUCUGCCACAUCUGAAACAUGAUCUUCUUCUUUGUUAGCAUUGUCUACAUUUUCCUGAUUUUCUGCUUGUACCUCCACUGAAUCAAUUGUAUCUUGCUCAGCCUGUUCUUGAGCCUUAAUUGAACUUUAUGACUCUUCUUGCAGUGUUCCUUUGCUAAUAGCUUUAUCACUUUCAGCCUGUGAAGUUGAUGAUUUAGUGUCCUUCUCUCUAUUGCUCUUCAAAGCACUUCUAUCUUCCUAAUUAAUUUAAUUCCUUUCACCUGCUUCGUUACUCAGGCCAGCUAUGUUUUCCUUGUUCCCAGUAGGAUUUGUGACCUUUUCCUCUAGUGCCCCAAACUUCUUAUUCACUGAUAUGUCUUUGUCCUUCGAAGUUUGAUUUCAUCUCACCUCAGGUUUUCUUCCAUGAUUCCACCUUCUUUUACUUUGUUUCCUUUGUUGCUGUUGAAACUUUGCUUCCCCUUUGUCCUUGUCAUUACUUUUGUCUUCUGUGUUGUUUUUGUUUUCUUUGCCCGUCUUCUCCUUUCUGUGCUAUAUUUUCUUCUGUUUCAGCCAUCUCCUUCUUUUCUUUCUUUGGAUACAAUUCACGAUGAAUGAUAUAACAUUUCUUCUUAUUAUGACCCUGUAACUUACAUUCCGUACAGUACUUUGGAACAUAGUCAUAUUUGAUAGGAAUCCAUUUCUCUACCACUUCUCCUGUCUUCUUACGCAUCCCAAUAUUGAUCCUCUUAGGAAAUUCCCCUAGUAAAUAAACUUCCACUUCAACUCUAGUGCAGCUUGAUCUUGUUUUAUUUUGUGUUGCUAAAUCCACCUGUAAAGGUUUUCCAAUCGCAGCCGCUAAUGAGAAUACAACUUUUUUGGCAAAGAAAUUAGGAGGCAAUGAUGGAUAAAAGAUCCAUGCCACGACAAUAGUUGUUUCCUCCUCAGGAUUGAACAUUGGAUCCCAUUUUAGUGUCCUCAUAAGAUCUGGAAUAUCUGGCCAUCGCUAUGAGAAUUUUCCAAUUACUGCAUAUUAUUGAAGCGUAUUGUCUGCAAAAAUGCUACAGCCUUGCAAGACGGUCCCUGUGGUUUGGCGCUUGUGCGACCUUCCUUGUGCAGUAAUGACAUUCUUUUGAUUAUCCAUUGGUUUCCUUAGGUAAAAUUGGCAGUUUUGGAACACAGCGGCCGCGUUGCCUGAGAUGAUAUCGACUGUGCCAGUGAUGUAACAUCCACGGUAGAACUGUCGAUAGGUUUGAGCAUAGAUCACGCUUUGGUGACCUACCAUGCGGCAAUUCAUAAAUAGUGCAUGAUCAGCUUGGACUCUGAGAGCCACCGCUUGUAAUUUUUCAGGACCUGCGGUGUUUCUGAAUCCUACCUUAUAUGCAAGAAAUCCAUUUCCUGAAAUAACUGCACCAAACGGAGGGGAAAAAAAGGAAUAACACUGACUUGAUAAUGUGAUGCAACAAAGGAAAUGCACUAAGUCAUCCACAAUGUUUUUGCUCCCAGUGAUGAUACUCUUUUGGGAUCCGUCUCCAAUAAAUGUAAGAUUGACUUGUGACACAACUACAUUCUCUUGGUAAACUCCUCCUUUAAUAUAGAUAAAGAACCUG